This 499-nucleotide ribosomal RNA is filed under the name uncultured Sphingobacteriales bacterium. RNAcentral describes it as "bacterial SSU rRNA". It matches the Rfam family "Bacterial small subunit ribosomal RNA", at positions 904 to 1382 of the family's 1533-position model. The record is from RNAcentral. Lineage: Bacteria; Pseudomonadati; Bacteroidota; Sphingobacteriia; Sphingobacteriales.
GCCAGCCCGCUCAGAAACUCAAGGAAUUGACGGGGGCCCGCACAAGCGGAGGAGCAUGUGGUUUAAUUCGAUGAUACGCGAGGAACCUUACCUGGGCUCGAACGUAAGAUGACUGUAGGUGAAAGCCUUUACAUCUCUUCGGAGCAUUUUACGAGGUGCUGCAUGGUUGUCGUCAGCUCGUGCCGUGAGGUGUCGGGUUAAGUCCCAUAACGAGCGCAACCCUACCUUUAGUUGCCAUCAGGUAAUGCUGGGGACUCUAAAGGAACUGCCUACGCAAGUAGUGAGGAAGGCGGGGAUGACGUCAAAUCAGCACGGCCCUUACGUCCAGGGCUACACACGUGCUACAAUGGCCGAUACAGAGGGCAGCUACCUGGUGACAGGAUGCAAAUCUCCAAAGUCGGUCUCAGUUCGGAUCGGAGUCUGCAACCCGACUCCGUGAAGUUGGAUUCGCUAGUAAUCGCGCAUCAGCCAUGGCGCGGUGAAUACGUUCCCGGGCCUU